GACGAACGCUGGCGGCGUGCUUAACACAUGCAAGUCGAACGGAAAGGCCCUGCUUUUGUGGGGUGCUCGAGUGGCGAACGGGUGAGUAACACGUGAGUAACCUGCCCUUGACUUUGGGAUAACUUCAGGAAACUGGGGCUAAUACCGGAUAGGAGCUCCUGCUGCAGGGUGGGGGUUGGAAAGUUUCGGCGGUUGGGGAUGGACCCGCGGCUUAUCAGCUUGUUGGUGGGGUAGUGGCUUACCAAGGCUUUGACGGGUGGCCGGCCUGAGAGGGUGACCGGCCACAUUGGGACUGAGAUACGGCCCAGACUCCUACGGGAGGCAGCAGUGGGGAAUAUUGCACAAUGGGCGGAAGCCUGAUGCAGCAACGCCGCGUGCGGGAUGACGGCCUUCGGGUUGUAAACCGCUUUCGCCUGUGACGAAGCGUGAGUGACGGUAAUGGGUAAAGAAGCACCGGCUAACUACGUG
Molecule: ribosomal RNA, 468 nt
Filed under: uncultured bacterium
Lineage: Bacteria
Description: partial 16S ribosomal RNA
Rfam family: Bacterial small subunit ribosomal RNA
Source: RNAcentral